GAUGAACGCUGGCGGCGUGCCUAAUACAUGCAAGUCGAGCGAACGGACGAGAAGCUUGCUUCUCUGAUGUUAGCGGCGGACGGGUGAGUAACACGUGGAUAACCUACCUAUAAGACUGGGAUAACUUCGGGAAACCGUAGCUAAUACCGGAUAAUAUUUUGAACCGCAUGGUUCAAAAGUGAAAGACGGUCUUGCUGUCACUUAUAGAUGGAUCCGCGCUGCAUUAGCUAGUUGGUAAGGUAACGGCUUACCAAGGCAACGAUGCGUAGCCGACCGGAGAGGGUGGUCGGCCACACGGGAACUGAGCCACGGUCCAGACUCCUACGGGAGGCAGCAGUAGGGAAUCGUCCGCAAUGGGCGAAAGCCUGACGGAGCAACGCCGCGCGAGUGAUGAAGGUCUUCGGAUCGUAAAACUCUGUUAUUGGGGAAGAACAUAUGUGUAAGUAACUGUGCACAUCUUGACGGUACCUAAUCAGAAAGCCACGGCUAACUACGUG
Molecule: ribosomal RNA, 497 nt
Filed under: uncultured bacterium
Lineage: Bacteria
Description: partial 16S ribosomal RNA
Rfam family: Bacterial small subunit ribosomal RNA
Source: RNAcentral